GACGAACGCUGGCGGCGUGCUUAACACAUGCAAGUCGAGCGGUAAGGCCCUUUCGGGGGUACACGAGCGGCGAACGGGUGAGUAACACGUGGGUGACCUGCCCUUAGCUCUGGGAUAAGCCUGGGAAACUGGGUCUAAUACCGGAUAUGACUCCAUGACGCAUGUUGUGGGGUGGAAAGCCUUGUGCGGCUAGGGAUGGGCCCGCGGCCUAUCAGCUUGUUGGUGGGGUGAUGGCCACCAAGGCGACGACGGGUAGCCGGCCUGAGAGGGCGACCGGCCACACUGGGACUGAGACACGGCCCAGACUCCUACGGGAGGCAGCAGUGGGGAAUCUUGCGCAAUGGGCGAAAGCCUGACGCAGCGACGCCGCGUGGGGA
Molecule: ribosomal RNA, 377 nt
Filed under: uncultured bacterium
Lineage: Bacteria
Description: bacterial SSU rRNA
Rfam family: Bacterial small subunit ribosomal RNA
Source: RNAcentral